GACUUCUACGCGGUCCACCAGAAUUACAGCACAAAGCUGACACUCCAUUUCAGGGAUUCCAUGGCAAGUGAUGUAAAGGCUGCAUCAGCAGGUAUGUGUCUGCAGUAUGUCAAAGUUAAGUUGUCAGGAUUCAGGAAAACGGAAGGACUUAGUUUUCCUAUUUUCCAUAGUUUGACACCUUAAACAAGAAGAACAUAUUUAUAUUGGCAUUUGACACCUUAAACAAGAGUUGUACUUAAAUUAUUUGGAGUUAUCAAGCAUUUGACACCUUAAACAAGAGUCAUAUUUAGAUUAGCAUCUGAUCAGUUCCUUAGUAGGAGAACCCUAAUGGUAAGCCAAGCAGAGUCUAUAAAAAUCACAGAUCGAGAAAAUAUAUGUUUAUUGGCAAUUGCAAACCAUAACUGACAUAGUGACACAAUUCUCCAAAUGAGUCAAAUCAAACCCCUUUUGAUAGUAUUAUGAGUAUAAAUGAAAGAACAUGUAAACAGAGUGUGUUAUCAUUUCAUCAAGGAUAAAACAGUCUUAGUUAUAGGAGUCGUAUAAGGCUUAGGCAAACAGGUGUCAGAUGAUCAAGAAAAUAGAAAACGUCACAAGCAACACGAACACACAAAAACCUAAACUCGCCAUUUUUUAUAUAGUAUGCUUUAUUAUGUGUUAUGAUGUUGUUUCUUCGCUAUUAAACUAGUACCAUCUGACCGAAAUUUCCUUAUGCAAUUUCAAAAGCGAUUGAAUUACUGGAUAAUUACAAACUGCAAGCCAUCAUUGGUCCCCAGAAAUCAUCAGAAGCUGUAUUCAUCUCCAAGAUUGGAAAUAUAACCCAAGUCCCCACAGUAUCCUUCACAGCAACAAGCCCCUCUCUCACUUCAGAUACUAUGCCAUAUUUUGUGCGUGCAACAUUGAAUGACUCAGCUCAGGUGAAUAGCAUUGCCUCGCUUGUAAAAGCCUAUGGAUGGAGAGAAGUGGUGCUAGUAUAUGAAAACACCGACUAUGGUAGAGGCAUUCUACCGUACCUCAUUAGUGCACUUCAAGAGAGUGAUGUUCAUGUCCCGUAUCAGAGUGUUAUCCCUCCAUCAGCAACAAGUGAAAUCAUGAUGCAAGAACUCUAUAAGUUGAUGACAAUGCAAACAAGGGUGUUUAUUGUUCAUAUGUCAUCCACGAUGACUUCCCUUCUUUUUACAAAGGCCAAAGAGGCAGGGAUGAUGGACAAAGGAUUUGCGUGGAUUACUACAAACGGAGUAGCAAACAUCAUCGACUCACUCAAUCCAAGUGUGACCGAGGUGAUGAAUGGUGUACUGGGAGUAAGGUACCAUGUCCCCAAAUCAAAAGAGCUUGAUAGUUUCUCCAUAAGGUGGAACAGAAUGUACCAACAGGAUAACCCAGAUGAAUCACCCUUCAAUAAACUAAGCAUUGUUGGACUACGGGCCUAUGAUACGAUAUGGGCAUUAGCACAGGCAGCAGAAAAGGUUGGGAUAUCCAGUGCCCCAAAUAAGCAACCAUGGUCCAUUAAGAACUCCACAUGCUUGGAAUCCAUGGUUAUUUCCCCAAAUGGUCCAAAACUCUUAGCAGCAAUUGUACAAAAUAAGUUUAGAGGUAUAAGUGGCGACUUUGACCUUACAGACAAACAGCUUAAAGUUUCUGUGUUCCAAAUAAUAAAUGUGGUUGGGAGAGGUUGGAGAGAAAUCGGGUUUUGGAGUGUGAAAAGUGGACUUUCACGGCAGUUGAAUCAAAAUGGCUUAAAAACAACAGGAUCAGCCUCAAUGCUUGAUCUAAAUCCUGUAAUUUGGCCAGGAGAGUCAACUGAAAUACCGAGGGGCUGGGAAAUUCCUAUAAGUGGUAAGAAGCUUAGAGUCGGUGUGCACACGAGCAAUUGCCCAGAGUUUAUAAAGACAUUCAGAGAUCCUGUUACAAAUGUAACAAGUGCGAGUGGCCUUUCAAUUGACAUAUUUGAGGAGGCAAUAAAGAGGCUACCUUUUGCACUUACUUAUGAGUACCUGGCAUUUGACACAGCUGAUACAGCAACUACAGGAAGCUAUAACGAUUUUAUUUAUCAAGUUUAUCUUCAGGUAAGAAAUACAUUACGAAAGAUUUGGUUUCAAUUUCUUAAUCUAUCAUUGCAGAAACUAGAAGCUGCAUACAUUCCACUGUUAAGAAGAAAACUCUAGUAGCUAAAACAUUUUACAAGAUAUUAACUUAGUUCCACAUUUUCAUCCAGUGUUUUGUUCUGCUUUCAAUUGAAACCAGGCUCCUAUUUUAUUUUACAUAGAAGGAUGUCAGAUAGAAAGGCUCAUUGUAUUUUGUUUUUCUCAAAGCAAAUCAAAAGUCUAUUUUGCAUGCUAAAAUAUUUUCCUCUUAUUGAACAAUUUACUUCCAGUGUUUAAUCAUUCUUAGAAGUAGAUCAUCACUUUCUUAUUUCUCAAAUAUAUGAAGCUGAUUCAUGCCAUUGCAGAAAUACGACAUAGCGGUUGGAGAUAUUACUGUAAGGUACAAUAGAUCAUUGUAUGUCGACUUCACUGUACCGUACACAGAAUCUGGAGUAGGGAUGAUUGUUCCAGUCAAGGAAAACAUGAUCAAGAAUAUGUGGAUUUUCUUGAAACCAUUGAGCACUGGAAUGUGGUUUGGAAGCAUCAUAUUCUUUAUUUACACAGGAGUUGUUGCCUGGCUUCUGGAGUAUCUAAAUGGCAAUCAACAUGUACAUGGUCCCUUUUCACUCAAACAAGUGGGGAUUACAAUGUUCUUCUCCAUUUUUGAAGAGAGUUGAGUAAACAUUACAGUUUCCUAGAUCUUUGCUUAAUUUUGAACAAGUAUUUCAGUUGCAUAGACAAAGUAUACGUUGCACUGCAUGAAAAUAAGAAGCGCCGAAAGAUUCCUUCGAAAAAGAUUACUGCAGUGAUCUAACUAAACUGCACCUCCACAACUUUUAGGAAAGAAAAUCAUCUGUAUGACCCCAUUUUAGUUAAACUUAUCUUAAUGUUUCUCAGCAUAAGAACCUAGAUCUGUCUAAUUAGUACUCCCUUCGUUCCAUAAUUAUUGUUGUGGUUUUAGUUCAAAUCUAGCUGGGGAUGAACUAAUGCUAGUACGUAUCUGCUUUAGAAACAUGAAAGCAAUACACCUGUUCUUCAUAAUUGCGCUUCACUAAAGGAAAAAAAAUUAUAGCGUCAAUUGAAAAAAAUGAUGGUAAGACUUGCAUUUAUCAUACCAAGAAAUAGAUAUUGCAUAUGCUUUCAAGCAAGUCCUCCAAUGGCAUGCAUUGCAGUAUCCCAAUCAAGUCCUGGAAUGUUAUGCAUUGCAGUAUCCCAGCUUUCAAGUUUGUUUACUGUCUCAAUAAUAUCUUCAUCAUUAUUGCAGAGGAGAAGCUGGAACGAUUUCUAUCCAGAAUUGUUCUACUUGUAUGGAUGUUUGUUUUUCUGGUACUUACAUCAAGUUAUACAGCAAGCUUUGCAUCAAUGCUGACUGUACAGCAGCUUUCACCAACAGUGACUGAUGUUCAUGAACUCCAGAGGAAAGGAGAAUAUGUAGGGUUCCACCGUGGUUCCUAUAUAGAGGGUCUACUGGUGGAUAUUGGUUUUGAAAAAUCAAAGAUGAGGCCCUACGAAACACAGGAAGAUUUCGCUGCUGCUCUUUCUAAAGGAAGCAAAGAUGGUGGCAUUGCUGCGCUUGUACAUGAAAUCCCCUACAUCAAACUGUUUCUUGCAAAGUACAGCAAAGGUUACACAAUGGUGGGACCUAUCUACAAGAGUGCAGGUUUUGCAUUUGUAAGUUUAACUCACUCACUAGGGUGCUUUGUUUUAAUCUCUUGAAAAAAAAAUCUGCAUUGAAGUUUGCUAGCAAGUCAAGUAAAAUGUUAUGCUCAUGUUUCUCCUUCAAUUCUACAUACCACGUCCCCUAAGAUUGCUAUAUACAAAUUCGAAGUUACGAAAUAAAAAUAGAAAUAGUGAGGCUAUCUAAUAGCAUACGAUGAAUAAUUUAUCUUCCAGUUGACUGAAUGAAAAGUUGAAAAAGGGUGGAGAUAAAUGUCAAAGUGAAAACGAUGCCCUUUUCUAGUCUGUCUGUCCCCAAUAAUGAACUCUCACUGACCGCACCCUAUGGGGAUCAUCAAUGUAAGCUUAACUACCAUAUACAACAAUAUAGAAGAGGCAAGCAACAACCAUCACAUAAAAAUAGAUCCAUCCAUUUUCUAUCAAAAAAAUUAUAUGAGCUGAUAUUUCCAUUUGGCGCUGCAGUGGAUUAUGAUAAAUAAUCUUGGAGACCAAGCAAUAGCUUGGAUGGUAGCCGUGCUGGUGGUCUUCCACCAGCCUGGGAUCGACCCUUCAUGGUCACAUUUCCAGGAGCCUCUCUCCGUAUCAAAAUAUAAGCACAGAGGGACUUCACCCCCUUAAGCCAUUCAUUUUUAUGAUAAAUAAUCUCGGUUGGAUGGAUUGCUUCUAGAUAACCUUGGCGUUUAGUUAGUCUGUUUUUUCCUCUUCUAAAACGAAUUGCAUAAUCUGCAUUCGAGAACAUAUGAGAUGUAAUGUGGGAGGUCAACCAUUCGAUAACACUAUAUCUAACUCUGGUCUGAUUUAUCAAACAGAGUAAUAGACUUUUCACAACUUCCUUCUUAAAGCAACUUCAAAAAUAAGUAACUCUCUCCGUAUCAAAAUAUAAGACGUUUUUUGACACUAGGAGUACAUCACAACACAACAACCACAAACUAAACCUGAAAACAGGCCCUAUGGUCAGAUUACUGAAUUUUUGUACUGCUUGAGCAACUUUUAGUAUGAUAGUGUGAAAGUAUGGUACUGCUGCUAAGCAACACCAUCAUUGACCAUCUUCCAUUAUAUCUUGUUAGCUAAGAAUAUUCAGCCCAAUGGAAAUUUUACUUUUCAGGCUUUUAUAGUCAGAUAUUAUGAUGAAUAGAAUUCUUUGUGUGUUAGCUUGUGCAAGCUUAUAAUAAUGAUCUCUUUGGUAAUCAGGCACUUCCCAAGCAAUCACCACUAAGAGCUGAAAUGUCAAGGGCAAUACUCAACAUAACAGGAGAAGAUAGUAUCAAUGAAAUUGAAAAGAAAUGGAUAUAUCAAAACAGCCAUCAACAUGAGGAUAAAAUUGAUGGUUCAGGCGCUAUCACCUUUGAAAGUUUUGGGGGGUUAUUCCUCCUAACUGGGAUCGUGACAACCUGUUCCCUUGCUGUAGCCAUGCUGAUGAACCUCUACAAAAAAUAUCAAGAAAAUGCAUGGAGCAAAGAAGACGAUCAAAAUGAGUGUGGACACAGGCAACAAGGAGAAAAUGGAGAUUCACAGGAAGAACAAGGAGAUCAAAACAGCAAUGAACACGGAAACUGCAGUGAUAUAGAGAAGCAGACAACAUUGACAGUGCCACUCAGUUCGAACACAGAGUGACCAGCUACCAGAACAGUUAGAACCAACAAUAUAGGCUGUGGAUUCACACAAAAUAACAAGGCAACGUCACUGACUCAUAUUGAUCCAUAAAUCAUUCGCAGGGGAGACAAAAGUAGAAUGUCAUUAAGUGGAUCAAGCUAGUUCCAAGCUGAGCAAAGAUCACCUUCCAAGCUCAAAGAUCCACAACUAACUGCGGGGAAAGCCUGGCUGAACUUUGGGUGUGUGGAGCUUCCUAUGGAUGCAAAAUCAAGUAAAGUUUCAGUCUGUUUUAUGCUUCACCCUUCCGGGCAUCACCUGUCUCGGUCUAUCAUAUACUACUGUAGUUUUCCUGAAAAAAUCAAGGCUAUACACUCCUUGUAGAGACUAUUUCUGUACAUACUUUGUAUAUUCAGGUUUUCACACGGAAAGGAGGUGGACGUGGAUCAUCCAAUUAUCAUCACUUCGUUUCGCAACCUGGAAAAUACGAGGCAGGCAUUCUAACGAACACCUUGGCUGCACUAUCCGUCUGCCCCCAUAAAUUCCAACACAUCAAACUAGUGUUCUGCAAAAUUCCGGUAGCACAUCCGCGAACGCAUAUAGUAGGGGAUCGAAUUUCGAUCUUAAGGAGGGACGGGAAGCAAGAGUUCAUUUCGGAAGUUUGCGCUCGGCAGAACUGAUCGAAUCUCGACGUACCUUGCCGGUUGCCGCCAGGCUCGCCGGGCGCCGGAUGGGCUCCUCCAUCCGUCGAGACGGCGGGUGGGCGAACCCCUCAGCGCGGCAUGAGGAGGACCCGUUGCGGUGGCAGGUGGAGGAAUGCGGCCGCGGGGCUCGAAGACUGGG
RNAcentral lists this long non-coding RNA (6191 nucleotides) under Triticum aestivum (bread wheat). RNAcentral's name for it is "long non-coding RNA (TAES_LNC008906)". The record is from RNAcentral. Lineage: Eukaryota; Viridiplantae; Streptophyta; Magnoliopsida; Poales; Poaceae.